CAGCCGUAAACAAUGUGCGUUAGGCGUGUCGGUAACCACGUGUUACUGAUGCGCCGAAGAGAAAUCGUGAAACGCACCACCUGGGAAGUACGGUCGCAAGGCUGAAACUUAAAGGAAUUGGCGGGGGAGCACCACAACAGGUGGAGCCUGCGGUUUAAUUUGGACUCAACGCCGGGAAGCUCACCGGAUAAGACAGCAAUAUGUAGGCCAGGCUGAAGACCUUGCCUGAAUCGCUGAGAGGAGGUGCAUGGCGUAGACGUCU
This 262-nucleotide ribosomal RNA is filed under the name uncultured archaeon. RNAcentral's name for it is "partial 16S ribosomal RNA". It matches the Rfam family "Archaeal small subunit ribosomal RNA", at positions 748 to 1009 of the family's 1478-position model. The record is from RNAcentral.